CAAUAGCGUAUAUUAAAGUUGUUGCAGUUAAAAAGCUCGUAGUUGAAUUUUUGCUUGCCGCCGAUGUCGGAACUUCCGUACGUUCGGCGGCGUGCAUCCUUGGGUGGAACCUGUGUGGCAUUAGGUUGUCGUGCAGGGGAUGCUCAUCGUUUACUGUGAAAAAAUUAGAGUGUUCAAAGCAGGCUUACGCCGUUGAAUAUAUUAGCAUGGAAUAAUAAGAUAGGACCUUGGUACUAUUUUGUUGGUUUGCGCACCGAGGUAAUGAUUAACAGGGACAGUUGGGGGUAUUCGUAUUCCAUUGUCAGAGGUGAAAUUCUUGGAUUCCUGGAAGACGAACUACUGCGAAAGCAUUUACCAAGGAUGUUUUCAUUAA
This 373-nucleotide ribosomal RNA is filed under the name uncultured eukaryote. Its description in RNAcentral is "partial 18S ribosomal RNA". It matches the Rfam family "Eukaryotic small subunit ribosomal RNA", at positions 592 to 976 of the family's 1831-position model. The record is from RNAcentral.